This 220-nucleotide unclassified non-coding RNA is filed under the name Hevea brasiliensis (rubber tree). Lineage: Eukaryota; Viridiplantae; Streptophyta; Magnoliopsida; Malpighiales; Euphorbiaceae. The record is from RNAcentral.
GUGAAUUGAAUGUGUAAUUACUUUAUACUAGAACAUUUAUUGAAUGUGAAUUGAAUGUGUAAUUACUGGACAUUUGACCAAACUGAGAUUUGAUAAUAUUGCUAGAAUUUAAUGGUAUUGAGACUGAAUGAUGAUAUUAGAAGUGCUAUAGAUGGUAUUUAAAGUUUGGGAGAUGGAGAAAUGAAUAUUGGGAGUGUUCUUUUGUGCAGGUUGUGAACAU